CCUACGGGAGGCAGCAGUGGGGAAUCUUCCGCAAUGGGCGCAAGCCUGACGGAGCAACSCCGCGUGAGUGAAGAAGGUCUUCGGAUUGUAAAACUCUGUCCAGGGGGAAGAAGAGAGUGACGGUACCCCUGGAGGAAGCCCCGGCUAACUACGUGCCAGCAGCCGCGGUAAUA
RNAcentral lists this ribosomal RNA (173 nucleotides) under uncultured bacterium. Its description in RNAcentral is "partial 16S rRNA". It matches the Rfam family "Bacterial small subunit ribosomal RNA", at positions 338 to 525 of the family's 1533-position model. The record is from RNAcentral.